This is a long non-coding RNA of Neomonachus schauinslandi (Hawaiian monk seal), 305 nucleotides long. RefSeq lists it as uncharacterized. The transcript has 2 exons. NCBI's taxonomy places the organism in Eukaryota, Metazoa, Chordata, Mammalia, Carnivora, Phocidae. The record is from RefSeq and is a predicted model, not a curated record.
CGCGAGGUUGCAGCGCCUGUGAGGAUCCGGAGGCUGACCGUCCUUGGAGACUUGCCGGAUCUCCACAGACCUGUCUGUCCCUCUAUCGUCUCUUUUACCUGCUUUAGUGCAUACUAAAGCUCUCCCUUCCUCAAGGCGGUGGAAUUUGAUCCUGAGACGUUUCUUCACUAUUCAUAUAUAUAUACCAGUGGAAACCAGAAGAACAUCUACCAAGAUCAGAGAAACGAAGAGGAGAAUUCUGCCUGUUGGAAAAUAUUCCAAUAUGGACGGUUUCCUUUUAUUUAAAAAAAAAAAAAAUAUAUAUA